GACGUAGGGCGCGAGCGUUGUCCGGAUUUAUUGGGCGUAAAGAGCUCGUAGGCGGCUUGUUGCGUCGACCGUGAAAACCCGCGGCUUAACUGUGGGCUUGCGGUCGAUACGGGCGGGCUGGAGUUCGGUAGGGGAGACUGGAAUUCCUGGUGUAGCGGUGAAAUGCGCAGAUAUCAGGAGGAACACCGGUGGCGAAGGCGGGUCUCUGGGCCGAUACUGACGCUGAGGAGCGAAAGCGUGGGGAGCGAACAGG
This 253-nucleotide ribosomal RNA is filed under the name uncultured bacterium. RNAcentral describes it as "partial 16S ribosomal RNA". It matches the Rfam family "Bacterial small subunit ribosomal RNA", at positions 524 to 776 of the family's 1533-position model. The record is from RNAcentral.